GGGUGUUACAGCUUGUUUAGAAUUGUCUAGCAGAUUUUCCAGCUUUUACUGGAAGCCCCCU
This 61-nucleotide small nuclear RNA is filed under the name Macaca nemestrina (pig-tailed macaque). Its description in RNAcentral is "U7 small nuclear RNA (ENSMNEG00000002003.1)". It matches the Rfam family "U7 small nuclear RNA". Rfam says of the family: Animal histone pre-mRNAs are spliced by a different mechanism than nuclear pre-mRNAs and self-splicing introns. This processing involves the U7 snRNP, which contains only one RNA species: U7. The 5' end of U7 RNA is thought to base-pair to a conserved spacer element downstream of the cleavage site in histone pre-mRNA. Lineage: Eukaryota; Metazoa; Chordata; Mammalia; Primates; Cercopithecidae. The record is from RNAcentral.